RNAcentral lists this ribosomal RNA (525 nucleotides) under uncultured bacterium. RNAcentral describes it as "bacterial SSU rRNA". It matches the Rfam family "Bacterial small subunit ribosomal RNA", at positions 355 to 896 of the family's 1533-position model. The record is from RNAcentral.
UGGGGAAUAUUGGACAAUGGGGGAAACCCUGAUCCAGCGACGCCGCGUGAGUGAAGAAGUAUUUCGGUAUGUAAAGCUCUAUCAGCAGGGAAGAAAAUGACGGUACCUGACUAAGAAGCCCCGGCUAACUACGUGCCAGCAGCCGCGGUAAUACGUAGGGGGCAAGCGUUAUCCGGAUUUACUGGGUGUAAAGGGAGCGCAGACGGCAAUGCAAGUCUGAAGUGAAAGGCGUGGGCUCAACCCAUGAACUGCUUUGGAAACUGUAUAGCUUGAGUGUCGGAGGGGUAAGCGGAAUUCCUAGUGUAGCGGUGAAAUGCGUAGAUAUUAGGAGGAACACCGGAGGCGAAGGCGGCUUACUGGACGACAACUGACGUUGAGGCUCGAAGGCGUGGGGAGCAAACAGGAUUAGAUACCCUGGUAGUCCACGCAGUAAACGAUGAAUACUUGGUGUCGGGGAGGUAAGCUCUUCGGUGCCGCAAGCUAACGCAUUAAGUAUUCCACCUGGGGAGUACGUUCGCAAGAAUG